AGCGAACGCUGGCGGCAGGCUUAACACAUGCAAGUCGAGCGGGCACUUUCGGGUGUCCGCGGCGGACGGGCGAGUAACGCGUGGGAACGUGCCCUCUGGUUCGGAAUAACUCAGGGAAACUUGAGCUAAUACCGGAUACGCCCUUUUGGGGAAAGGCUUGCUGCCGGAGGAUCGGCCCGCGUCUGAUUAGCUAGUUGGUGAGGUAACGGCUCACCAAGGCGACGAUCAGUAGCUGGUCUGAGAGGAUGAUCAGCCACACUGGGACUGAGACACGGCCCAGACUCCUACGGGAGGCAGCAGUGGGGAAUAUUGGACAAUGGGCGCAAGCCUGAUCCAGCCAUGCCGCGUGAGUGAUGAAGGCCUUAGGGUUGUAAAGCUCUUUUAUCCGGGACGAUAAUGACGGUACCGGAGGAAUAAGCCCCGGCUAACUUCGUG
Molecule: ribosomal RNA, 435 nt
Filed under: uncultured bacterium
Lineage: Bacteria
Description: partial 16S ribosomal RNA
Rfam family: Bacterial small subunit ribosomal RNA
Source: RNAcentral